CGUGCCCCAACCCGGCCGCCUGCAGCCCCGCAGGGUUUUGCGGUAGGUCCUACAAUAAACACGAGGCUGUUUGCAGCCCGACACGUCCCGGCUCGCGGCUCCUCUUGCAAACGGUGCACGAGGACGGCGUGCCAAGGCCUGGCCAUGCGCCCCGGCAUGUCGGGACACGGCUUGGGGUCGAGGCCUGGGGCCCUGCUUUUGGCCUUGGGAGGCUGCCGGCCUCCCCCGCCUCAGUUUCCCUCUGGUGGGGACAGAGGUGGCUACGUCGUGGGGGGACCCGUGGGUGGCCGUGGAGCUCUUGGUGGUUUCCCAGAAGGUGGCGGCCUCAGCCCAAAAAUCCGCUCCCUGAAGGCUUUGGGGUGCCACCGGGACGGGCCUCAUGCAUGCGCUGAGUGUGUGGGUGCUCAGCCCCCCCGGCUGGGGCAGGGGAUGGGGGCAGCAGCAUGGCCCUGUCCCCGCUGUCCCGUGGGAAGCCGUGUGGGACAGCUAACGGGGGACAGCGCGGCCGAGAGCUCGUUAGCCCUGCGCACAGAAAGCCGCACGAUGGGGAACUCCUUGCUGCGAGCACAAAACCAGGCUCAGAGUGUGGGUGGGAAAAAAAAAAUACAAACCCUGCGAGGGGCUGCUAAACACGAGAGGACAAGGCUGCAGCCAGGGGCUGAGUGCCCAGGGUGCUGUGCUCACGGCUGUGCAAAAUUGAACGUUUGCACACCUGUAAGGCUGCACGCCUGCAUGCACACAAAUUUGCAGGCUGACAUCCUUGCACCAUCAUGCGCUUGGAUGCUUGCACAACUGGGAGGUUGCAUGACACGGUGUGCUCGUGUGCUUGCACAAUCGUGUGUGCACAUGCCGCGUGUGCACAUGCCGGACCAAUUGCACGCUUGCCCUCUUGCACAAGCGCAAGCAAUGCCUGGCUGGCUGCAAAACCACUCUGCACAGCCUUCCUUGCACGGCUGCAUCCCUGCACCCCUGUGCAACGGCUGCUUGCACACGCGGGUGCUGGAACAGCUGCACGCCCACGCACUCACAGCGCUGCGCGCUUGCACACUCGUUUAUUUUAAUUCCCAGUUCCCCCGCUAAUUCCCAGUCCCCCCCCUAAUUUCGAGUUCCCCCCCCCGCUCCCCAUCCCCCCCCCCCCCCCGGGUUCCCAGUUCCCCCCCCAGUCCCCAGUUCUCCCUGUCCCCAUCCCUGCGCUGGCAGCACCCCGCUUUGCAGCGUUCUCCCCGGAGGGUGCUCG
This 1237-nucleotide long non-coding RNA is filed under the name Anas platyrhynchos platyrhynchos (common mallard). RNAcentral's name for it is "lncRNA (ENSAPLG00000027062.1)". The record is from RNAcentral. Lineage: Eukaryota; Metazoa; Chordata; Aves; Anseriformes; Anatidae.